RNAcentral lists this unclassified non-coding RNA (324 nucleotides) under uncultured fungus. Its description in RNAcentral is "partial contains small subunit ribosomal RNA, internal transcribed spacer 1, and 5.8S ribosomal RNA". The stretch from base 1 to 73 matches the Rfam family "Eukaryotic small subunit ribosomal RNA", at positions 1759 to 1831 of the family's 1831-position model. Lineage: Eukaryota; Fungi. The record is from RNAcentral.
GCAAACUUGGUCAUUUAGAGGAAGUAAAAGUCGUAACAAGGUCUCCGUUGGUGAACCAGCGGAGGGAUCAUUACCGAGUUUACAACUCCCAAACCCCAAUGUGAACGUUACCAAACUGUUGCCUCGGCGGGAUCACGCCCCGGGCGCGUCGCAGCCCCGGAUCCAAGGCGCCCGCCGGAGGACCAAACCGAAACUCCUUAUUUAUCAGUCCCCUCGCGGGAUGUCUUCUGAACAAACCUCGGGCGCCCCUAGCGGGCGUUUCGAAAAUGAAUCAAAACUUUCAACAACGGAUCUCUUGGUUCUGGCAUCGAUGAAGAACGCAGC